UACGGAGGGGGCAAGCGUUACUCGGAAUUAUUGGGCGUAAAGGGCGCGUAGGCGGUCCUGCGCGUCGGAGGUGAAAUCCCCGGGCUCAACCCGGGAACGGCCUCCGAUACGGCAGGGCUUGAGUCCGGGAGAGGGGAGCAGAAUUCCCAGUGUAGCGGUGAAAUGCGUAGAUAUUGGGAGGAAUACCGGUGGCGAAGGCGGCUCCCUGGACCGGUACUGACGCUGAGGCGCGAAAGCGUGGGUAGCAAACAGG
RNAcentral lists this ribosomal RNA (253 nucleotides) under uncultured bacterium. Its description in RNAcentral is "partial 16S ribosomal RNA". It matches the Rfam family "Bacterial small subunit ribosomal RNA", at positions 524 to 776 of the family's 1533-position model. The record is from RNAcentral.